Molecule: non-coding RNA, 144 nt
Organism: Paramuricea clavata
Lineage: Eukaryota; Metazoa; Cnidaria; Anthozoa; Malacalcyonacea; Plexauridae
Source: the annotation of a GenBank genome assembly
GCUGUCAAGUCCGUUCUGCUCAUGCGCGUGUUCUGUUUACAUUUUUGUUUCAAACAGUAGAUAAUUAAAUUAAAUUAUCUAUUGCAGUUGUUCGAAAUAAAAAUGUAAACAAAACACGCGCAUGAGCAGAACGGACUUAACAGC